GACGAACGCUGGCGGCGUGCUUAACACAUGCAAGUCGAACGGAAAGACCCUGCUUUCCGGGCUCUCGCGUGACGGACGGAUGAGUAACACAUAGGUGAUCUGCCCUCCACCUCGGGAUAAGCCUCGGCAACUGGGCCUAAUACCGACUAGAAAACAUUUUUAGUGUGAUGGUUGGAAAGUUUUUUCGGUGUAGGAUGAGCGCUCGGCCUAUCAGCUAGUUGGUGGGGUAAUGGGCUACCAAGGCGGCGACGGGUAGCCGGCCUGAGAGGGUGGACGGCCACCUGGGGCCUGCGGUACGGACCAGACUCCUACGUGCGGCAGUAGGGGGGAAUCUUGCGCAAUGGGGGCACGCCUGUGGCAGCGGCGUCGCGUGGGGGAUGACGUCCUUUGGGUUGUAAACACCUUUCGCUGGGAACGAAGCCUUUUUUGCCGUUACCUAGAUAAGAAGCACCGGCUACCUCCGG
Molecule: ribosomal RNA, 464 nt
Filed under: uncultured bacterium
Lineage: Bacteria
Description: partial 16S ribosomal RNA
Rfam family: Bacterial small subunit ribosomal RNA
Source: RNAcentral